AGAAUCAACGCUGGCGGCGUGCCUAACACAUGCAAGUCGAACGAGAAAGUGGAGCAAUCCAUGAGUACAGUGGCGUACGGGUGAGUAACACGUGACUAACCUACCCUCGAGUGGGGAAUAACCUCGGGAAACCGGGGCUAAUACCGCAUAAUAUCUUCGGAUCAAAUGCGUAAGCAGCUUGAGGAGGGGGUCGCGGCCGAUUAGCUAGUUGGCGGGGUAAUGGCCCACCAAGGCAAUGAUCGGUAGCCGGCCUGAGAGGGCGCACGGCCACACUGGAACUGAAACACGGUCCAGACUCCUACGGGAGGCAGCAGUGGGGAAUUUGCGCAAUGGGGGAAACCCUGACGCAGCAACGCCGCGUGGAGGAUGAAGCCCCUUGGGGUGUAAACUCCUUUCGAUCGGGACGAUUAUGACGGUACCGGAUGAAGAAGCACCGGCUAACUCUGCGCCAGCAGCCGC
This 459-nucleotide ribosomal RNA is filed under the name uncultured bacterium. Its description in RNAcentral is "SSU rRNA". It matches the Rfam family "Bacterial small subunit ribosomal RNA", at positions 26 to 518 of the family's 1533-position model. The record is from RNAcentral.